RNAcentral lists this ribosomal RNA (637 nucleotides) under uncultured bacterium. RNAcentral describes it as "bacterial SSU rRNA". It matches the Rfam family "Bacterial small subunit ribosomal RNA", at positions 232 to 879 of the family's 1533-position model. The record is from RNAcentral.
CGCGGCCUAUCAGCUUGUUGGUGGGGUAAUGGCCCACCAAGGCGACGACGGGUAGCCGGCCUGAGAGGGCGACCGGCCACACUGGGACUGAGACACGGCCCAGACUCCUACGGGAGGCAGCAGUGGGGAAUAUUGCGCAAUGGGCGAAAGCCUGACGCAGCGACGCCGCGUGAGGGAUGAAGGCCUUCGGGUUGUAAACCUCUUUCAGCAGGGGCGAAGCGAAAGUGACUGUACCUGCAGAAGAAGCACCGGCUAACUACGUGCCAGCAGCCGCGGUAAUACGUAGGGUGCGAGCGUUGUCCGGAAUUAUUGGGCGUAAAGAGCUCGUAGGCGGUCUGUCACGUCGGAUGUGAAAACUCGGGGCUUAACCCCGAGCCUGCAUUCGAUACGGGCAGACUAGAGUUCGGUAGGGGAGACUGGAAUUCCUGGUGUAGCGGUGAAAUGCGCAGAUAUCAGGAGGAACACCGGUGGCGAAGGCGGGUCUCUGGGCCGAUACUGACGCUGAGGAGCGAAAGCGUGGGGAGCGAACAGGAUUAGAUACCCUGGUAGUCCACGCCGUAAACGGUGGGCGCUAGGUGUGGGGGACUUUCCACGUCCUCUGUGCCGCAGCUAACGCAUUAAGCGCCCCGCCUGGGGA